Long non-coding RNA from Pteropus alecto (black flying fox), 1451 nucleotides. RefSeq lists it as uncharacterized. The record is from RefSeq and is a predicted model, not a curated record. The transcript has 3 exons. Lineage: Eukaryota; Metazoa; Chordata; Mammalia; Chiroptera; Pteropodidae.
AGGAAGGAGGACAGAGAAGAAAAGAAGAGGGGGGUGGAGGGGGGGAGAAGGAAAAAAGCUGGGAGAGGGAGAAGAAAGAGAUCUUCCUUUUGCCGAAGGAGGCAUAACGUGGCUUAGAGGGUGCCAAAGCAAAAGGUUUUGCUUUAUUUCAUUUGUUUUUGCAACCGAGGCGUUCAGGGUGGGGCUGGCGCGAGGCGAGGGCGGAUGGGCAGAAGGUGCCGGUCUCAGCGCACGGCGAGAUUGGUUUAUGCCUUCGGGUCCUCGCGCGGACGAUUGUGAUGCUGGACUCUUAAAAAUACUAUUGAAGGACCCCCUCCCCCACUGUCCCCUGCCUUCCUCCUUGGAACCCUUGGAGUUCAUUCAAAACCGUCAGACUUUUCCAGAGCAGCCCCCCCCCCCGCCCACCGCACGGGGAGGGGGGGGGAGCGGGAGGACGUGCGCCCCGCCCGGUGCUCCGAGCGCCCGCGCACCCGCGUCGGCACGCUCAUUACCACUACAAAGCCGGCGGACGUCUCAGCGCCGCUCCAAGGCUGCGUCUUCCACCGAGAACAUCGGGAGGCCAGGAACUUACAGGGCGGCCGGCUUUAUCUCUAGGGAAAGUUCCAGUACCUCCUUCCUAGUUAGAGGGAUAGUCAAGGGGGUUCUGCAAGCCCCCUGCCACAGCCUGUGAGUGAAGAGUGGACAAGACCUAAAGCUGUGUCCUCAGGGAGGUCUGCCUUCCCAGUCUGUGAAGCGCAGAGACGUGCCACUUCCAAGAAAAAAGGGCAGCGCGAUGGCCCUUUGUGACGGGAGGGUAAACACUCACCCUGGCUGAGAACUGACCGUUUACAAGCCCAGCACAGCUCACCUAUUUCGCCCUUCACUUUGACCUCACAAGUUCGGAAAGGCAGAUGCUGCCCCAUCUUAUAGAGGAAGAAACUGAGGCACAGAUGACACAUCCCUCUGUGGUCCCCGCUCCCGAGGACAACACCCUACGAUGAUGCAGAGGUGCAUGACCUUCGCGUCAGGCCGAGUAUCGAUUACUUUUUUAUUUUGAAGUUUGCUCCUGCAGGCUGGAUUGCACAGGGCCAGGGACUUGUGAAACACUUUGUUCUCGCCUUCCUCGAAAGUUCACGCUGAGUGACUGAACUUGACCCUUUAUUAAUAAAAGGUCAACUCAGAUCUGAGGACUUUUCAGACCAUAGCGUAUGUAAGAAUCCUUUCCACACACAGUCCUGGGGCCUACCUCUAGAAAUCCUGACUCAGGAAACAGUUUGAACAAGCCUCCUGAGGAGGUGCUGCUGCAGCUGGCACGGGGACCACUCUGAGAAGCUUUGAGAACAGAACUGGCCUCUUAAGUGCACCUGCAGUUGGUGCAGCCACCUACUGGGUGAGAAUGAGCCAUCUUGGACUCCUCGAGGACCCAGACAUUUGUUUUUAGAAAACUCGAGACGGCAAGGAAAGUUUAUUAC